CUGAAAUGGGACUUUAAGGAUAAUAGUUUUUGCCUUCUUCCUUUUGAAAAUGUUUUUGUUGUGAACCAUAUGUAGUUUGGGAUUUUUCUGUAUAUUGGGCAUUUUAAAAGCAAAAUGAUUGGUAUAUUAAAUUUAUUCAAGAUGCAACAUCUAGUUGGGUAUUUAAGAAUUGUGUGAAUUUUCUGGGAUAAAUUUCUUACUGUUAUUGAUAUAAGGUCAUGGUAAAUAACUGGGAUUUAUUUGAAACUUUGGAGACGAAAUUCUUUGGGCUUGUAAUUAAUGCUAUUUGGAAGUUUUAAAGCUCCACUCUUCGAUGUGCUGAAGAUUGAGUUUUAACUGCUUAUGUUAUAGUUAUGUUCUUGCAUUUUUUUCCUCCUGUGACUGAUUUCUAUGAUCAGAACAAUAGUUAAUAAGAACUGUUAAUGUAAUUCAAAUAUGUCAUACCUUGCUGUUUCCAAUCUGGUUAUAUGUAAUCAUUAUAUCCUAAAUACUUAGGCAAAUAAGUAUUUAGCCUGGUCAUCUGUCUGUUACUGGAUAUUUGUGUUUUAUUUUUAAAAUGUUUUUUUUUUAAAUGAUAAGAGGACAAUUUACAAUGGUCUGUGAAACCUAAUUGCUAUUUAUUGGAACUAUAGCUGUCUGCCUGUCCUGUGAAGCAAGCUUAUUCCUUCACACAGGAACUGCUGGCCAAUCUAUACUGGCCUCCCCACAUGUUAUUGCAGGUCCAGACUGUUCUAACUUUGUUAGAUUUAGUUUUUUGUUGUUCUAGAUUUUGGUCAAAUUACAGAUUAUUGAAUCUCUUCUGAGACAUGGAUCGGCCCAUCUGAAGCUUAGAUUGACACCACACCCACACCCCUGCAUGGAUUGAGCACCUUCGCCCAUUUCUCAGCCUGAAGCAGCUAAAAUCGAGACCAUCGCCAGUGCUCCUGAUGUAAUUUGGACUGAUAUGGGGGAAGUGGGAAAGUGGUUGAUGAAUUAUUGUUAAAAUUACAAUUCUAUUACUAGAGUUAGAAAAAAAUGCAAACAUUACUGUGUGUUUAAGAUUUGGGAUGGAAAUUAUUAAAAAUAGUAACUAUUGCUGUUAAGGAAGUUAUAUGUUUAUAAUAUCUAUGUUCACUUCAGAAUAUGUAAUUGUUUAAGGUAUUUGAUUUGAUUUGAUUUGAUUGAUUUUAGGAAACUCCUCCUGUACUAGACUGUUAUGUAUGUAGGAACUUUAAUUCACUCUUGGGAUUUAUAUGUGGAUGGUUAUUUGACUAUUUAUUAUUAUUUUUUGGAUGAUUCCUUUCCAUGAGGAAAAAAAAAAGGAGAGGAAGAGAUAGGGAACUAGGGAAACUGGUGGAUUUUUCUCAAAAUACCUAAAAGAGUGGGAACCCUUAGUUUUCUUUCACUUUUGCCUUACGUACUUCUGCCCUACCCCCUAGACCACCAGUUCAGAUUGAAUUGGAAGUCCUUAAACAAUCCUUUUUGUUUUUACUAUGUUUUAGCUUUGAAACCCCUUAUUCUGUGGAAUUGCCCUGGCAGACUCAGUUUUGGGAAUUAUUCUGUUUUAAAGAAAUCUCUAAGAUAAAGACACUUGUCUUGGGACUGGCAAUCUCCAGCCCUGUAACCCCAGUUUCUUAACUGGUACCUCAGCAUUUUUAAUAACAUUGCCCUUUUGAGAUCCAAGCCUUUAAAGUUUGGGGUUUGCCUGCCUUCAUAUUUUAACUGUGCAUGCUCUGAUAGCUCUGCUCAGAAAUCUGUAUUCUAGUAGCAGCCCUGUCUGUCCCCCUGGGUGGGGACAGGUGGAGCUACUCUAAGCCUCACCCUUCUCCCCUGAAGUGGGUUGCCCCUCUGAAUGGGCAGCAUGACUGUCUCGAGCCCUGCUACUCCCUUUAUAAGCAGAAGCUGAGUUAAGUGCACAAAUGACUGCAGACCACCUAACACAGUGAACUGUCCAUCUCAAACUGGAUUCUCUGGCUGAGAUGAGGUUCUUUGUACUGCUGAUAACUCUGGGGUUGUCAGGAAGAGACUUGCCCUUGCUAUAAGUCCUUGCAUUUUCUAGUUUCAUUUUGACUUAUUUGCCUCACAUUGGAUUGGUCAAAAUUAUGGUGCUGAGACCUCCUAGGUAUCUUGGGGAGGUAAUUCAAUAAUUCAAAUAUUCAGAAGAAGAGUGUGUAAUGUUGUGCCUCAGUUUCCCUAGUUGUCAUCUUUAUUUAUCUUUGUAUUUUUAUGUUUGCCAAAUGCCAAUCUGUUCUGUGAUAACUGUUUCUAAGAUAGUUGGUGGAAGCAAUUUUUAUGGUAUGAACUUAUUGCAAUCAAUAGUAUUAUCCUGUUGCUGCUAUGUCUAUCCUGUAUAAUUACAUUAGUAACCAGAAUAGUUCAGUGGUCCCUAUCAAAAUAUUGCAUACAGAAGAUGCUAUUAAAAUGAUAAUUCUUCAGAGAAAAGACUGGAAUGUAUUAAAGAGGGAUGAUCUUGAUUGUGAACUUGAUAAACAAUGUAUAGAUAUAUUAACUGAUUUUGAAAAUGUGUAAGUUCUUCAUAGAAAUAUGAUAAAAAUCAUUUACAUGUUAGAAGGGGGGAGCUGUGGGGAAUAGAUAAGGUGAAGAACUUACAGGGAUGUAUGCAUUCUUUUUCUGUAUUUUAUUAUUUCUGUGUCUCCCCUAUGACCUGUAUAAUAUGUGCAGGCUCAUAUCUAUUUGAGCCUUGGCCAGCUAGAAACAUAUUUACUUAACAUGAACUGAUGACAUUUAUUGGUAUUUGACAUUUAUCAAUAUUUAGUCUAUUAGCUGGACCACUGUCUGCUUGAUUAAGCCUGAAGGCCUGACUUUGUUUCCCAGAAAUCAGGAGAUUUCAGGGAAACAGAAACCUUCCAUUCCAAUCUCCCCAAAUAGCAACAACCAAUUAGAUGCCUCCCCCUCCCCUUUCAAUGCUCUCUUACUUGUGAUGUAAUUUCUUGUAUAAAAGCUAUGUAUCUUUACUACUUCUUUAGCCCUCCUACCGCGAGCUUAUCUUGCGAUGGGACGGCUCAUCCUCCAGAGGUUUUUCAAUAAACAACUUUUCUGCCUUCUA
Long non-coding RNA from Antechinus flavipes (yellow-footed antechinus), 3046 nucleotides. RefSeq lists it as uncharacterized. The record is from RefSeq and is a predicted model, not a curated record. Lineage: Eukaryota; Metazoa; Chordata; Mammalia; Dasyuromorphia; Dasyuridae. The transcript is spliced from 2 exons.